This 253-nucleotide ribosomal RNA is filed under the name uncultured prokaryote. RNAcentral's name for it is "partial 16S ribosomal RNA". It matches the Rfam family "Bacterial small subunit ribosomal RNA", at positions 524 to 776 of the family's 1533-position model. The record is from RNAcentral.
UACAGAGGGUGCGAGCGUUGUUCGGAAUUAUUGGGCGUAAAGGGCGCGUAGGCGGUGCCACAAGUCACCUGUGAAAUCCUCGGGCUUAACUCGGGGCCUGCAGGCGAAACUGUGGUGCUGGAGUAUGGGAGAGGUGAGUGGAAUCCCCAGUGUAGCGGUGAAAUACGUAGAUAUUGGGAGGAACACCAGUGGCGAAGGCGGCUCACUGGACCGGUUCUGACGCUGAGGCGCGAAAGCGUGGGGAGCAAACGGG